CCCCGUCCCGCCCCGUGCCUGGGCUGGCCGCGCCGGAGGUGCCACAAGGCGGGGGCAGCGCCCCGAAGUCCGUCCCGCUGGAAAACCGGGAGAGCGGCCGCUGCUGGGGGUUCCGGAGGGCCGGGGAGCCCCCUCAGCCGCCCGCACCUGCACCGCGGCUCACCUGGACACGGCGCGCUCUGCUCUGCCCGCGGAGCGCCCACAGCACAAGGGGGGGAGAGCUCAGCUGAAGUUUGUUAAACAAAACCUCAAAGCCAACCAAAUCCUCGCGCUGGGCGCUGAUGAGCUCCGUGCCACCGGGAGUGCCACAGGUGUAGUGUGUUCGCUGUAAUGCAAAUGCCAAAUCUCUCGCACAUGAGCGGCGGCGGGAGAAUGGCCAUCGGGAGCUGCACCUGCGGAUAAUGAUUAGCUGAUACUCCCUCGGAGCGCACUCGAGCCUGGGGAAAUCCGUCCCGGUUUUCCGCCCUCCCCCAGCCCAAGAUGAGGGCUGCGCAAACCUCACAGGCUUAUAAACCUCACUUGUCUCAUCUACACUCCCACCUGGAAGAGUACAGCUUUUCUGUUUUGGCAGCAGGAAUGAUACCUGGAGGGAAAGAAAAGUUGACUUCCCUUACUUCAGGAGAGGUUUCAGGUCAGGCUUCCCUGACAGAGGUUUGGAAUUUAAAUGUGCUGUUGCAGUGCAUUUGAUCUGAUCGAGCACAGUAGUGGGCGGUUGUUGUAAGAUGAAAAAGGAUAAACAGCUAAAACCCGAGUUCUCAGGAGCUUUUUGUUUUCUGGCAUCCUAUCAAAAUGCUAAUGCAGAAGGAGAGCAGCAGAGAAGUUGUCCAUGUUUCAUGAUAGUGGGAACUGUCCUGCAUAAUGAGAGAUUUAACAGGUUAAAUGUAUCAUCUGAGAUAGGCAUUAGCAAUACUAUCCCUCUAAUAUUACCUUGCAUUCCUAAGUGGUAGAACAUCUCUCAUACUGUACUUUUGCAUUUUUCCUCUUAACAAAAUAAUCUCUGAGUUUAAAUAAAUGUUAAAAGGAGCCAAUCAAUGUUUGUACUUAUCUGCUUUUGAGCACAGUGAACACAACCUAUUUUAGACACUCUCAUUAGUAUUCACCAACCAGUUGACCUUUUCAGUCCCAUCAUUAUGUAAAAGACAGAACACACUUUUUCUCUUCCUUACAGUGAAGUUAUUGCUGAGGAGAAUAUGAUUAAUAUAUGAAAGACAAGACGAUAUUGACUCUUGCAGCUGCCCUGUACUCAGCAGAAAAGGAGUUGUUCAGAGCAUUACACUGGGUUCUCAGCCAUGAAUACAACUGUAAUGCCAUAAUCCCAGCUCGGCAUUGUCGGUCUGAUCCUGUGUGCCUUGCACAAACAGCACUGCACUUCAGGCAAAGGGAAGUCUAGGAUGCCAAAGAGGUUUUAAUAUAUGUGCCCCCUGGUCAUUUAUAUAAAUAAAAUGUAAUUACCA
Long non-coding RNA from Haemorhous mexicanus (house finch), 1454 nucleotides. RefSeq lists it as uncharacterized. The record is from RefSeq and is a predicted model, not a curated record. The transcript is spliced from 3 exons. NCBI's taxonomy places the organism in Eukaryota, Metazoa, Chordata, Aves, Passeriformes, Fringillidae.